This 436-nucleotide ribosomal RNA is filed under the name uncultured bacterium. Its description in RNAcentral is "bacterial SSU rRNA". It matches the Rfam family "Bacterial small subunit ribosomal RNA", at positions 29 to 508 of the family's 1533-position model. The record is from RNAcentral.
AACGAACGCUGGCGGCAGGCUUAACACAUGCAAGUCGAACGCGUGUAGCAAUACACGAGUGGCGCACGGGUGAGUAACGCGCGGAUAUCUGCCUUUUGGUUCGGAAUAACCCCGGGAAACUGGGGCUAAUACCGGAUGGUUCCUACGGGAUAAAGAUUUAUCGCCAAAAGAUGAGUCCGCGUACGAUUAGCUAGUUGGUGAGGUAAUGGCUCACCAAGGCGACGAUCGUUAGCUGGUCUGAGAGGACGAUCAGCCACACUGGGACUGAGACACGGCCCAGACUCCUACGGGAGGCAGCAGUGGGGAAUAUUGGACAAUGGGGGCAACCCUGAUCCAGCCAUGCCGCGUGAGUGAUGAAGGCCUUCGGGUUGUAAAGCUCUUUUGGCGGGGACGAUGAUGACGGUACCCGCAGAAUAAGCCCCGGCUAACUUCGUGC